GUGCCUGUAGUUCAGCGGUGGAACGCCGGACUGUGGCUCCGGAUGACGUGGGUUCGAAUCCCACCAGGCACCCCA
This 75-nucleotide transfer RNA is filed under the name Acidobacteriota bacterium. RNAcentral describes it as "Acidobacteria bacterium tRNA-His". It matches the Rfam family "tRNA". Rfam says of the family: Transfer RNA (tRNA) molecules are approximately 80 nucleotides in length. The record is from RNAcentral. RNAcentral also lists the same sequence under 3 other names. Lineage: Bacteria; Pseudomonadati; Acidobacteriota.